GGGUCUGUGGUUUAGUGGUAUAAUACUCCCUUAGCAUGGGAGUGGUCCGGGGUUCGGUAAGAUUCACUGUUCGGUCCCAACUAUUCGCUCCACCUUCUAACAGUACUAGAUUCCCCGCGGAUCCA
Molecule: transfer RNA, 125 nt
Filed under: Neofusicoccum parvum UCRNP2
Lineage: Eukaryota; Fungi; Ascomycota; Dothideomycetes; Botryosphaeriales; Botryosphaeriaceae
Description: tRNA-Ala (AGC) (tRNA-Ala-AGC-1-1)
Source: RNAcentral